This 427-nucleotide ribosomal RNA is filed under the name uncultured bacterium. Its description in RNAcentral is "bacterial SSU rRNA". It matches the Rfam family "Bacterial small subunit ribosomal RNA", at positions 355 to 774 of the family's 1533-position model. The record is from RNAcentral.
UGGGGAAUAUUGGACAAUGGGCGCAAGCCUGAUCCAGCAAUGCCGCGUGUGUGAAGAAGGCCUUCGGGUUGUAAAGCACUUUUAUCAGGAGCGAAACGCUGUCGGCUAAUACCCGGCGGAACUGACGGUACCUGAGGAAUAAGCACCGGCUAACUUCGUGCCAGCAGCCGCGGUAAUACGAAGGGUGCAAGCGUUAAUCGGAAUUACUGGGCGUAAAGCGUGCGUAGGCGGUGACUUAAGUCUGCUGUGAAAUCCCCGGGCUCAACCUGGGAAGGGCAGUGGAUACUGGGUCGCUAGAGUGUGAUAGAGGAUGGUGGAAUUCCCGGUGUAGCGGUGAAAUGCGUAGAGAUCGGGAGGAACAUCAGUGGCGAAGGCGGCCAUCUGGAUCAACACUGACGCUGAGGCACGAAAGCGUGGGGAGCAAACA